Molecule: ribosomal RNA, 487 nt
Filed under: uncultured bacterium
Lineage: Bacteria
Description: bacterial SSU rRNA
Rfam family: Bacterial small subunit ribosomal RNA
Source: RNAcentral
GAGUGAACGCUGGCGGCGUGGAUUAGGCAUGCAAGUCGAACGGUAUCAUCCUUUCGGGGGUGAGAGAGUGGCGAACUGGUGAGUAACACGUAGGUUAUCUACCCUCAAGACGGGACAACCCAGGGAAACUUGGGCUAAUACCGGAUGUGAGCAACUUUUAGUUGUUUGAAAGGUGGCGUAAGCUGUCGCUUGGGGAUGAGCCUGCGUCCUAUUAGUUAGUUGGUGAGGUAACGGCUCACCUAGGCAAUGAUAGGUAGGCGGCCUUAACGGGUGGUCGCCCACACUGGGAUUGAGAUACGGCCCAGACUCCUACGGGAGGCAGCAGUCGAGAAUAGUCUACAAUGGUCGGAAGACUGAUAGUGCGACGCCGCGUGAACGAUGAAUCCCUUCGGGGUGUAAAGUUCUUUUAUAUGUGAGCAGUGCUUCUUAUAUUAACAGUAUGGGGAGAGAGAUAUUAGCAUAUGAAUAAGCAACGGCUAACUCCGUG